Small nuclear RNA from Mustela putorius furo (domestic ferret), 97 nucleotides. The record is from Ensembl. NCBI's taxonomy places the organism in Eukaryota, Metazoa, Chordata, Mammalia, Carnivora, Mustelidae.
GUACUUCAGUAGCACACGUACUAAAAUUGGAAAGAUACAGAGAGGUUUAGCAUGUCCCAUGCACAAUGUGCAAAUUUCUAAAGUAUUCCACAAAUGC